UGGAGGUGAAGGAGUCAGCAGGCUCAGGGGAUAAUUAAUCACCGGAGGUGAGGUGCCCUGGCUCCCCAUGCCAGCGCCUGCUCCUGGCUGCCAGCCCUUGCAAGGCACCGGCCAGCUCUGAGAGCAGCCCAUGGUGCUGACGUGGGGCAGGGAAACUGCUCGUGGAGCCGGAGAGAGGAGAAGAAGGGCUCCGUGUCGUGUGGGAUGGAGUUUGGCACGAGGGACCCCAAGGAGGCCGAGCUGGAAAUGCUCCCUCUGGCUGGGAACUCUCCCAGGCUGAAGUUCGGGCACGUCCUUGGUGCUGCUGGUGGGAUCCCAACAUCCCCAUGCUGAGGGGUGUCUGCAGAGUCCUGGGGCAGAGCUGCACACCCAGGACAAGCAGCGUUUGCCACCCGUGGGGCCAGGGACCCUGAGCCUCUGCACCAGGCCCACUGAACCAUCAUGAGCAUCCUUCCCAGCACAGAGGUGAAAUGCUCUGGGUGCAGCUUCUCCCGAACGGUGAGCGCUGCCCUCCUCACCCCCCGCUGGCACGCAGAACAUCCCAUACACCUUGUGCCAUUUCAAGCCGCUUCAUUACCGAGUUUUACUUUCCAGUCCCCGCCCCGUGACCGUAAUCCUGUUUCUGUGUGUUCUGUAUCCAAGGUGUAAGAAGUCAUCGAGAGCUGUUGUUAACUGGAAGGGUGUAUUUGGUGUGGGAAACGGUGAGCAGAUACUCCCUAAUCCCUGUGUCAGCUCACAUCCUUUUCCCAUCCCGUAUGGGCACUGCACCCAAACAAACAGGGUGCCUGGUUACCAUCGCCGUGGCCCUUCCCCUGCCCUCCAGGAGGAUCGGGGUGCGUCUGGGACGUGUCUCCCUGUCCGUGCCAUCAGGAGAGCUCCGCACGGACACACAGCCACCUCUCCCAGCCACAGGUGGCAUGGGAAGGCUGGAGCGACGCAGAGCAGGAGCCCGACGGGAGGAGCUGUCACCAAGCCCCUCGCUGCUGGCCACCAGCAUCACCGGCUCUGCUGGAAUUUAGCCUCUGCUUCCCCCAAAACUGUGGACCCACAGAGCAGGGGCCAAGCUGGCAGCCUCUCCAGGCCAAAGCCUGCUUGGAGGUUCAGCUCAGACACAGAGAAAAAUAGCUGUCUGCCAUCCACCUGGGUCCCAGGGGUGUUUGUCUGCAUUGCUGGUACUUGUCACGGGGAUCGCCCAGGU
Molecule: long non-coding RNA, 1198 nt
Filed under: Anser brachyrhynchus (Pink-footed goose)
Lineage: Eukaryota; Metazoa; Chordata; Aves; Anseriformes; Anatidae
Description: lncRNA (ENSABRG00000001647.1)
Source: RNAcentral